UACGAAGGGGGCUAGCGUUGUUCGGAAUUACUGGGCGUAAAGCGUGCGUAGGCGGCUUUCUAAGUCGGGGGUGAAAUCCUGGAGCUCAACUCCAGAACUGCCUUCGAUACUGGAGAGCUUGAGUCCGGGAGAGGUGAGUGGAACUGCGAGUGUAGAGGUGAAAUUCGUAGAUAUUCGCAAGAACACCAGUGGCGAAGGCGGCUCACUGGCCCGGUACUGACGCUGAGGUGCGAAAGCGUGGGGAGCAAACAGG
Molecule: ribosomal RNA, 253 nt
Filed under: uncultured bacterium
Lineage: Bacteria
Description: partial 16S ribosomal RNA
Rfam family: Bacterial small subunit ribosomal RNA
Source: RNAcentral